Molecule: small nuclear RNA, 103 nt
Organism: Zalophus californianus (California sea lion)
Lineage: Eukaryota; Metazoa; Chordata; Mammalia; Carnivora; Otariidae
Source: Ensembl
GUGCUUGCUUCAGCAGCACAUACACAAAAUUGGAAUGAUACAGAGAUUAGCCUGGCUCCUGUGCAAGGGUGACACGCGCAUUUGUCAAGAGGUCUGUGUUUUU